Mirounga angustirostris (Northern elephant seal) is the source of this 760-nucleotide long non-coding RNA. RefSeq lists it as uncharacterized. The record is from RefSeq and is a predicted model, not a curated record. NCBI's taxonomy places the organism in Eukaryota, Metazoa, Chordata, Mammalia, Carnivora, Phocidae. The transcript is spliced from 5 exons.
UGGAGGCGCACCGGAGCGGCCGUGGCGCCCUCCGCGGGAGCCCGCAGCUCCCCGGGGCGCGCAUCCAGCCGCGGCUCCUUCGGCCCGGCACGCUGCGCCCGGGGGCUCGGCGGACCCCGCGUCGCCGCCGCUCCCGAGCUUGUGCGACGCGGGCUGGCCGGCGGGGCGGCGAGGGCCCGGCCCGCCUCCCCAGCGCCCGCCCCGGCUUCUCCCCCUGGCGGUGGAGCCUCGGCGGCCGCCGGCUACACUAAACGCGCUGGAGCCCGAGCCGAGCCGAGCCCGAGCCGCCGCCGCCGCCGCCGCCGCCGCCGCGCGCCGCUCCCAGGCUCCCUCCCAGCGCGCCGGCCGGGGUGUGGGGGGCGGCGGGCCGGAGGGACGAGGGCGGGCGAGAGGCGCGCGCUGGGAUUGGCGCCGAAGACCGGACCCUCAGCCGCUAGGGGAUGUUGCAGGUCUCUGCUCUUGUAAGACUUUGGCUGCAGAACCCAGGGCUGAACACCUCUAGAAAUGGAUCAAAAGACUCAACCAGCAAAUGGUGAAUCAAUGACAAGUCAAUAAUAAGGAGUCUGGAGAAGAUCAAAGGGGAGCUUGCAUAUGAGAUCUCUUUGGAAACCCUGAAGCACUCUGUGAAUGAAAAGGUGAGAAGGCAGCCAUCUGCAAGCCAAGAAGAGGGCCCUCACCAAGAACUGAAUCUACUGGUACCUUGAUCUUGGACUUCCCAGCCUCCAGAACUAUGAAAAAUAAAUGUCUGUUGUUUAAGCCA